RNAcentral lists this long non-coding RNA (842 nucleotides) under Homo sapiens (human). Its description in RNAcentral is "HSALNT0284107". Lineage: Eukaryota; Metazoa; Chordata; Mammalia; Primates; Hominidae. The record is from RNAcentral.
GUGGUGGUAGUGAGGCCAGUGCUUGUUUGCAUAUGCCAAUAGCUAUACCAGCGUGAGGGAGUACAUUUGCAAUGACUAGGUGGUGGUAGUGACACUUGACUGGUAUUCUAAGGCAAAGACAACUGGCCUUUAAAAUCUACCACUAUGUACCCUCGAAUGUAAUUAUUUAUGGAUGGCACGCAUAGCCUACUUCUGUGACUGGCUUUGCUGACAAUCAUACAGCUCAGUUUUCUAUCCCUUAAUCAAAACUCAGCAGACACAGUGGCUCACGCCUGUAAUCUCAGCACUUCGGGAGGCCAAGGCAGGUGGAUCACCUGUCAGGAAUUCAACACCAGCCUGUCCAACAUUGUGAAACCCCAUCUCUACUAAAAAUAAAACAAUUAGCUGGGUUUAUGGUGCGUGCCUGUAGUCCCAGCUAGUAAGGAGGCUGAGGCCCGAGAAUCAUUUGAACUCAGGAGGCAGUGUUUGCAGUGAGUUGAAAUUGCAACACUGCAUUCCAGCCUAGGCAACAAUGAGGCUCCAUCCAAAAAAAAAAAAAAAUAGCUUUUCUUCUCAAAUCUACUGCAGACUCCUAGAAGGCAAGGGCUGUAGCUUACCAAAAUUAAAAUGAAAUUGUCCAAGCUCCUGAAAUGUUUUAUUAUUAUGGCUUUUUUAUUACAAUAAAAUAUACAUAACAUUUACCAUAUCAACCAUUUUGAAGUGUUCAUUUAAAGCAGCAUUAAGAAUAUUUAUGUUUCUGGGCACAGUGGCUCAUGCCUGAAGUCGCAGCACUUUGGGAGGCCAACCUGGGUGUACCAUUUGAGGUCAAGAGUUUGAGAUCAGCCUGACCAACAUGGUGAACG